Molecule: ribosomal RNA, 440 nt
Filed under: uncultured bacterium
Lineage: Bacteria
Description: partial 16S ribosomal RNA
Rfam family: Bacterial small subunit ribosomal RNA
Source: RNAcentral
CCUAGGGGUGGCUGCAGUGGGGAAUAUUGCACAAUGGAGGGAACUCUGAUGCAGCGACGCCGCGUGAGUGAAGAAGUAAUUCGUUAUGUAAAGCUCUAUCAGCAGGGAAGAAAGUGACGGUACCUGAAAAAGACUCUCCGGCUAAAUACGUGCCAGCCGCCGCGGUACUACGUAUGGAGCAAGCGUUAUCCGGAUUUACUGGGUGUAAAGGGGGAGUAGGUGGCAGAGCAAGUCCGAAGUGAAAACCCAAAGCUCAACUAUGGGAAUGCUUUUGAAACUGCUCAGCUAGAGUGCAGGAGAGGCAGGUGGAAUUCUUGGUGUAGCGGUGAAAUGCGUAGAUAUUAGGAGGAACACCAGUGGCGAAGGCAGCUUGCUGGACUGUAACUGACGCUGAGGCUCGAAAGCGUGGGGAGCAAACAGGAUUAGAUACCCUGGUAGUC